CGAGUGGAGCCUGAAGCCAGAACCAGGCAUGGGGUGGCCCAGAUGGAUUUAUUCCAGAGCCCGGCCUUCUUCCUGCAGGCCUGAGGGACACUGUGGCUGGCUCAGGGCAUAAGGCUGCCCCAAACAGAGGGAGGGGCCUCUCUCUGCCUGGUGCCCCCUCCACUCUCAAGGCUCAGUGCAACUAAGAAAUGAGCUCUCUUGCCUCACUGCUGGGGCUGCCUUUGAUUUCAUGGGGAAUAAGGAAGGGGCCCAGGAGGACAGGAUCCCAGGUGGUGGAUUCUGUGACUGAUGAGACCCCUCCGGCUCCCCAGGACUGGCCAGCAAGAGGAAAGCUCGUGUUGCUUAUGGGGUGGAAGCCAGGAGCUGCAGGCCUGGGAAGGGGCUGAUAAGGGGCUGCUCUCACUGCUCAGGGGACAAUGAGCUUAGUGUGGGAGGGCUGGGCUGUUGCUUUCCCUCAGGGCUCCCAAGAGAGGUUUCUAUGGCACCCGGAAGCUGACUUGGCCACAAGCGUCAAUGGAGACAUUGUGUGGGGGUUCUUGAGCCCCACCUCUCUCACGGGGUGGGGAGGAGGGAGAGCGAGGCAGGGGAGCCUUCCCUCUGGUCCUGCAGAUGCCCCUGUGUACUGUGCUAUGAGAUGGGACUGGGGCCUCUGAAGAUGCCCACCUCCUUCCUCUUCUUCAGGAAAGGGUGGAGCCACUGGGGGCCUUCCCAGAGCAGACACUAUAUGUGAUCCUGAAUCCAGGCAUGUGUUCCUCAGGAGUUGCUCACCCGGGGGAGGGAGGCAGACAGGUGACACGUGCCCUCUUUGUGCCUUUUUCCCACACUGAAACCAAUAGGUUGUGUCUCUCCUCUACCAAUUCACCUGUAGGAAUGACAAGACUCAGCCAGGGUGACAAAGUGAGACCUUGUCUCUAAAUUAAUUAAUUAAUUUAGCUUGGAGACUCUUGCAUGCCUCACCUAAACACUGGUCAAUCCAUGGGUUGGCCAGUGCCCCUUGACCUGGGUAGCUUGGGUCAGACAAGUGAGUGGGGUCAUGACACUCUCCCUCUCAGGAAUGUGGCCUCCAAGACUCAGAGGGAAAUUGCCUCUGGUGGAGACACUGGUUCCACUCGGACUGGGCAUGGUGCUACCCAGACUCCUCCAGGACUGAAGGGCCUGCACUCCAGUGGUCGUCCCUCAGCUCAGCCCUCUUUGGGAGCAAUUCAGCCCAAAUCCAAUGACUGGUCAAUAUAGAGGCAUAAAGGCCAGGUACUCUUGUCCCAACUCAAGGCAGCUCUCAGCGUUCAGCCCAGCUCCAGAGCUCCUCCAGUGCUGGGCCAAGGUCUUUGCUGGGACUGUAUCACAGCCCAGUUUCUGCCACCGCCACUCCCUCCUUCUCCUUGUGUGUCCUGACUCUGGGGCACACAAUAAGUGGUCUGCCCACCUAUGUCCAUCUUAGAGUGUUUUCCAGGGGACAGGAAAGAUGCCACAGGGAGGGCAGGAAAGAGGAUGCAUAGUUAGACCUCUCACAGGUCUGCCCCUUCUGUCCCAGCUGAGUCCUGCCUCUUCUGCAGAGGGUGGGGUGGAAGCAGUUCCUCCACCCCCACCUCUGACCUUCCUGCAUGUCUGUCCUAGAGAACGUUUGCCCAGCUCUCAGGGUCUCCAAAGGAAGAAGUCAAAUAAGUCACAGAGAAGCAAGGCCAGACAUGAUAUUUCCUCUCUGGGCCUUAGUUUCUUCAUCUAUAAAAUGGAUCACUGCCACUUACUUCAUAGAAUUUAGGGGAAGAUCCAGAAAAAGAACAUAAAGCCACUAGUUUAAGGCUUUCUUAUUCUGCUGGGUCUGAAGUCAGUCAUCGAUGGGCUAGAAAAACAAAAGAGCCCCAAUGAUCGUCAUGUACAGUCCCAAAGAUUCCCAGGACAAUGGCCAUCCACUUCACCAUUUCCCCUGGGGUGAGUGUGCUUAAGGACUCAAACACUACCAGUGACUCUCCUUGACAGAUGGUAUCAUCCAUGCCAGGUGGCGCCCCAAGCCCUCUUUGUCCUCCUUGUGCCCACUCAUGUUGCAGAGAAACAACUGGAGGUCAGGGAGACUCGGCCGGGGUCACACAGCUGGUACACUGUGGAGCCAGUCCCGCCCAGGGUGCGAGACCCCCAAGCUUUGGUUUGGGGAGAGCCACUGCUCUCACUUCCUCCCCAUUGCAAAAGGGACUCAAGGUGGGAAUCAGGGUCAGCUGCACCCUGAGAGGAACUUACCUGAUUUGCAGCCAGGGAUGCUCCUCUCAUCUUUUGGGGAACUAUUGAGAAGGGAAAGACGUGCCCAAUUUCCCAGGAUUUCUCUGAAUUCCUGGAUAUUUACUCCUCAGAUUCCACAUCUGGGGAACGCAGUGAUGUGCUGAAGCUAGCUCAUACCAGCUCAAAAAAGCUGACCAUGCUCCUCUCCUCACAGUUCCACGUCCACACCUUCAUGUUGGUCACCAUGGUGGGAGUAGGGACACCAUGAGAACUGGCAAUUCUACCCAUCAGGGAUUUGAGGGCUUUUGUUUUCAGGGAGCUGUAGUUACACACUGCCCAGCACACCCCUGGGUGGGUUCCUUAGGACCCCUAGGGAAGUAGUCCCAGCUACUUAGGAGGCUGAGGUGGGAGGAUCCAUCGAGCUCGGGAGGUCGAGGCUGCGAGUGAGCUGUGAUUGUGCCACUGCAUGCCAGUCUGGGCAACAGAGCAAGACCCUGUCUCAAAAAAAAAAUAUAUAUAUAUAUUCUCUUUACUAUACAUGUUACACUUAAGUUUUUUGAAGGAAGAAAAACAGCAUUUUCUUCUGAAGUUACUCACAUUUUAGUGGGGAUAGAGGGCAAUAAUGGCACUGGCUCCAAUGAUAAGAGUUUUAUUAGCUUUUCUAGUUUUUUGCUAGUUUUUCUAGAGGGCCCAGGGGAGCCUGGGAGAUACCCUUUGGGCUGUGGGGUUUCAUUUUGGUCACAUGUCUCAUUUCUGCCUCUGAUUCUCCUAGUUCUCAGAACCACUAAUAUUCUGCCCCACGUGCUAGGAUCUGUUUUUAGAACUUCCUCUUGACAGCACUACUCCUAUCUUGUGUCCACAGAAGGGGAUCCUGACUCAGCACAGGGUUCUCGGGUGUGCCGAUCCUGGGCUGGGCCUCUUGAAGACCUAUGUGGCCCUUGAGCCCUCGGCUUACUUUUUUUUUUUUUUUUUUUGAGAUGGAGUCUCGCUCUGUCACCCAGGAUGGAGUGCAGUGGCGCGAUCCGGGCUCACUGCAAACUCUGCCUCCCGGGUUCAAGUGAUUUUCCUGCCUUAGCUUCCCAAUAUCUGGGAUUACAGGUGCCCCCCCACCACGCCCAGCUAAUUUUUGUAUUUUUAGUAGAGAUAGGGUUUCACCAUGUUGGUCAGGCUGGUCUGGAACUACUGACCUCAACUGUUGCAUCCACCGUGGCCUCCCAAAGUGCUGUAAUUACAGGCAUGAGCCACCACGCCCGGCCCCUCAGCUUACUUUUUUUAAAAUUUUUAAAUUUAUUUUUAUUUUUUUUGAGAUGGAGUCUUGCUCUGUCGCCCAGGCUGGAGUGCAGUGGCAUGAUCUCAGCUCACUGCAACCUCCACCUCCCGGGUUCAAGUGAUUCUCCUAGCUCAGCCUCACGAGUAGCUGGGACUACAGGCACGUGCCACUGCGUCUGGCUAAUUUUUUGUAUUUUUAGUGGAGAGGGGGUUUCACCGUGUUAGCCAGGAUGGUCUCGAUCGCCUGACCUUGUGAUCCACCUGCCUCAACCUCCCAAAGUGCCCCUCAGCUUACUUUUAAAGACCUUGUUCCAAUAACACAUCAAACAGCCCACACUGAGUAUAGGACACAAGCAACUUGUUAUUUCUUGGCAAUCCCCACACACUCCUCAAGAAUUCUUGCAAAGGAGGAAAUGCUACUUUCAAUUUGUUUUGCAAAUGUAAUGAAAUUUUUAAAAAUACUGAAUGUAUCAAUUAAGGAAGCUGACUUAGUGUUCCACUUUGCAGGCAUUUAAUUAAACAUUUAUUCACUUUGA
Symphalangus syndactylus (siamang) is the source of this 4016-nucleotide long non-coding RNA. RefSeq lists it as uncharacterized. The record is from RefSeq and is a predicted model, not a curated record. Lineage: Eukaryota; Metazoa; Chordata; Mammalia; Primates; Hylobatidae.